UUUCCGUAGGUGAACCUGCGGAAGGAUCAUUACCGAGCGAGGGCCCUCUGGGUCCAACCUCCCACCCGUGUCUCUUGUACCUCGUCGCUUCGGCGGGCCCGCCUCACGGCCGCCGGGGGGCAUCUCGCCCCCGGGCCCGCGCCCGCCGAAGACACCCACGAACUCUGUCUGAAGAAUGCAGUCUGAGUGAAAUGAUAAAUUAUUUAAAACUUUCAACAACGGAUCUCUUGGUUCCG
RNAcentral lists this unclassified non-coding RNA (236 nucleotides) under plant metagenome. Its description in RNAcentral is "partial contains small subunit ribosomal RNA, internal transcribed spacer 1, and 5.8S ribosomal RNA". The record is from RNAcentral.